UGUGCGAAAGCAUGAUAAGGGAACUCCGAGUGCCAGCAUCUAAUGCUGGCUGUCCUUGUGCCUAAAACGCACAAGAUAGCAAGGGCCGGGUAAGACCGGUGCCAGCCGCCGCGGUAACACCGGCGGCCCGAGUGGUAGCCGCUAUUAUUGGGUCUAAAGGGUCCGUAGCCGGUUCGAUAAGUCCUCUGGGAAAUCUGGUUGCUUAACAAUCAGACUGCCAAGGGAUACUGUCGAACUUGAGACCGGGAGAGGUAAGAGGUACUUCAGGGGUAGGAGUGAAAUCUUGUAAUCCCUGGGGGACCAUCUGUGGCGAAGGCGUCUUACCAGAACGGGUCUGACGGUGAGGGACGAAAGCUGGGGGCGCAAACCGGAUUAGAUACCCGGGUAGUCCCAGCCGUAAACGAUGCUCGCUAUGUGUCAGGUACGGUGUGACCGUAUCUGGUGCCGUAGGGAAGCCGUGAAGCGAGCCACCUGGGAAGUACGGUCGCAAGACUGAAACUUAAAGGAAUUGGCGGGGGAGCACUACAACGGGUGGAGCCUGCGGUUUAAUUGGAUUCCAACGCCGGAA
RNAcentral lists this ribosomal RNA (568 nucleotides) under uncultured Methanosarcinales archaeon. RNAcentral describes it as "bacterial SSU rRNA". It matches the Rfam family "Archaeal small subunit ribosomal RNA", at positions 356 to 923 of the family's 1478-position model. Lineage: Archaea; Methanobacteriati; Methanobacteriota; Methanomicrobia; Methanosarcinales. The record is from RNAcentral.